Molecule: ribosomal RNA, 481 nt
Filed under: uncultured bacterium
Lineage: Bacteria
Description: partial 16S ribosomal RNA
Rfam family: Bacterial small subunit ribosomal RNA
Source: RNAcentral
GACGAACGUUGGCGGCGUGCUUAAUACAUGCAAGUCAACUGAAGCAGUGGUAGCAAUAUCGCUGUGGAGGUGGCGCACGGGUGAGUAACACGUAGGUAAUCUGCCUUCAGGUCUGGCAUAACUCCGGGAAACCGGGGCUAAUAGCAGAUGAUGCAGCGGCUCGACAUCGAGACAGUUGUUAAAGCUAUGGCGCCUGAAGAUGAGCCUGCGUCUGAUUAGCUAGUUGGCGGGGUAACGGCCCACCAAGGCAACGAUCAGUAGCUGGUCUGAGAGGAUGAUCAGCCACACUGGAACUGAGACACGGUCCAGACUCCGACGGGAGGCAGCAGUAAGGAAUAUUGCUCAAUGGGAGAAAUCCUGAAGCAGCAACGCCGCGGGAGGGACGAAGGGCUUUUGCUUGUAAACCUCUGUAGUGAGAGAAAAAAAUCCCAAUCUUUGGGACAUGAUGGUAUCUCAAAAGUAAGCCCCGGCUAACUACGUG